Molecule: ribosomal RNA, 1346 nt
Filed under: uncultured bacterium
Lineage: Bacteria
Description: bacterial SSU rRNA
Rfam family: Bacterial small subunit ribosomal RNA
Source: RNAcentral
GACGAACGCUGGCGGCGUGCUUAACACAUGCAAGUCGAACGGAAAGGCCCUGCUUUUGUGGGGUGCUCGAGUGGCGAACGGGUGAGUAACACGUGAGUAACCUGCCCUUGACUUUGGGAUAACUUCAGGAAACUGGGGCUAAUACCGGAUAGGAGCUCCUGCUGCAUGGUGGGGGUUGGAAAGUUUCGGCGGUUGGGGAUGGACUCGCGGCUUAUCAGCUUGUUGGUGGGGUAGUGGCUUACCAAGGCUUUGACGGGUAGCCGGCCUGAGAGGGUGACCGGCCACAUUGGGACUGAGAUACGGCCCAGACUCCUACGGGAGGCAGCAGUGGGGAAUAUUGCACAAUGGGCGGAAGCCUGAUGCAACAACGCCGCGUGCGGGAUGACGGCCUUCGGGUUGUAAACCGCUUUCGCCUGUGACGAAGCGUGAGUGACGGUAAUGGGUAAAGAAGCACCGGCUAACUACGUGCCAGCAGCCGCGGUGAUACGUAGGGUGCGAGCGUUGUCCGGAUUUAUUGGGCGUAAAGGGCUCGUAGGUGGUUGAUCGCGUCGGAAGUGUAAUCUUGGGGCUUAACCCUGAGCGUGCUUUCGAUACGGGUUGACUUGAGGAAGGUAGGGGAGAAUGGAAUUCCUGGUGGAGCGGUGGAAUGCGCAGAUAUCAGGAGGAACACCAGUGGCGAAGGCGGUUCUCUGGGCCUUUCCUGACGCUGAGGAGCGAAAGCGUGGGGAGCGAACAGGCUUAGAUACCCUGGUAGUCCACGCUGUAAACGGUGGGUACUAGGUGUGGGGUCCAUUCCACGGGUUCCGUGCCGUAGCUAACACUUUAAGUACCCCGCCUGGGGAGUACGGCCGCAAGGCUAAAACUCAAAGGAAUUGACGGGGCCCCGCACAAGCGGCGGAGCAUGCGGAUUAAUUCGAUGCAACGCGUAGAACCUUACCUGGGUUUGACAUGGAUCGGGAGUGCUCAGAGAUGGGUGUGCCUCUUUUGGGGUCGGUUCACAGGUGGUGCAUGCCUGCCGUCAGCUCGUGUCGUGAGAUGUUGGGUUAAGUCCCGCAACGAGCGCAACCCUUGUUCACUGUUGCCAGCACGUUAUGGUGGGGACUCAGUGGAGACCGCCGGGGUCAACUCGGAGGAAGGUGGGGAUGACGUCAAGUCCUCAUGCCCCUUAUGUCCAGGGCUUCACGCAUGCUACAAUGGCUGGUACAGAGAGUGGCGAGCCUGUGAGGGUGAGCGAAUCUCGGAAAGCCGGUCUCAGUUCGGAUUGGGGUCUGCAACUCGACCUCAUGAAGUCGGAGUCGCUAGUAAUCGCAGAUCAGCAACGCUGCGGUGAAUACGUUCCCGGGGCU